GCGGUAUUAGCUCAGCUGGAAGAGCGCAGGUCUCAUAUUGUACGCGAUCCUGAGGUCAUGAGUUCGAGUCUCAUAUACCGCA
This 82-nucleotide transfer RNA is filed under the name Guillardia theta. RNAcentral's name for it is "transfer RNA-Met (CAU)". It matches the Rfam family "tRNA". Rfam says of the family: Transfer RNA (tRNA) molecules are approximately 80 nucleotides in length. Their secondary structure includes four short double-helical elements and three loops (D, anti-codon, and T loops). The record is from RNAcentral. Lineage: Eukaryota; Cryptophyceae; Pyrenomonadales; Geminigeraceae.